RNAcentral lists this ribosomal RNA (402 nucleotides) under uncultured bacterium. RNAcentral's name for it is "bacterial SSU rRNA". It matches the Rfam family "Bacterial small subunit ribosomal RNA", at positions 355 to 774 of the family's 1533-position model. The record is from RNAcentral.
UGGGGAAUAUUGGACAAUGGGCGCAAGCCUGAUCCAGCCAUGCCGCGUGAGUGAUGAAGGCCCUAGGGUUGUAAAGCUCUUUUGUGCGGGAAGAUAAUGACGGUACCGCAAGAAUAAGCCCCGGCUAACUUCGUGCCAGCAGCCGCGGUAAUACGAAGGGGGCUAGCGUUGCUCGGAAUCACUGGGCGUAAAGGGUGCGUAGGCGGGCAGAUAAGUCAGUGGUGAAAUCUUCCGGCUUAACCGGGAAACUGCCGUUGAUACUAUUUGUCGUGAAUAUUGCGGAGGUAAGCGGAAUAUGUCAUGUAGCGGUGAAAUGCUUAGAUAUGACAUAGAACACCAAUUGCGAAGGCAGCUUACUACACAAUCAUUGACACUGAGGCACGAAAGCGUGGGUAGCGAACA